Molecule: small nucleolar RNA, 77 nt
Filed under: Lates calcarifer (barramundi perch)
Lineage: Eukaryota; Metazoa; Chordata; Actinopteri; Centropomidae
Description: Small nucleolar RNA SNORD111 (ENSLCAG00010011299.1)
Source: RNAcentral
GUGCAAGUGAUGAGUUUUUUCAUGUCUCUUCUCUGAGUAAAAACUGAAGAGUCUGUAAAUCUCUCUGAUCUCAGCAC